AUGAACGCUGGCGGCGUGGAUAAGGCAUGCAAGUCGGACGAUUUCCUUUUUUUGAAGAAGAUGCGAUUACAUCAAAUUAACAGAUAUUUUGAAAACAGUGGCGAACGAGCUAGUAACACCUUGGUACGUACCCGAAAGUUUGGUAUAGCUCGCCGAAAGGCGGGGUAAUCCCAAAUAGUCCCUUCAUCUAUCGGAUGAUAGGGUAAAGUAGCAAUACGCUUUCGGAUCGGCCUAGGUCCGAUCAGUUAGUUGGUGAGGUAAUGGCUCACCAAGACAAAUGACCGGUAGG
Molecule: ribosomal RNA, 289 nt
Filed under: uncultured bacterium
Lineage: Bacteria
Description: partial 16S ribosomal RNA
Rfam family: Bacterial small subunit ribosomal RNA
Source: RNAcentral